GGGGGUAUAACUCAAUAGGUAGAGAAUAUUCUUUGCAAGAAUAUAGUUAGCGGUUCAAGUCCGCUUACUUCCA
This 73-nucleotide transfer RNA is filed under the name Nephromyces sp. ex Molgula occidentalis. Its description in RNAcentral is "tRNA-Ala". It matches the Rfam family "tRNA". Rfam says of the family: Transfer RNA (tRNA) molecules are approximately 80 nucleotides in length. Their secondary structure includes four short double-helical elements and three loops (D, anti-codon, and T loops). Lineage: Eukaryota; Apicomplexa; Aconoidasida; Nephromycida. The record is from RNAcentral.